AGGACGAACGCUGGCGGCGUGCUUAACACAUGCAAGUCGAGCGGAAAGGCCUUUCGGGGUACUCGAGCGGCGAACGGGUGAGUAACACGUGAGUAACCUGCCCUUCACUUUGGGAUAACCCUCGGAAACGGGGGCUAAUACCGGAUAUUUACUGCUGGCGGCAUCGUUGGUGGUGGAAAGUUUUUCGGUGGGGGAUGGGCUCGCGGCCUAUCAGCUUGUUGGUGGGGUAAUGGCCUACCAAGGCGACGACGGGUAGCC
This 258-nucleotide ribosomal RNA is filed under the name uncultured bacterium. Its description in RNAcentral is "partial small subunit ribosomal RNA". It matches the Rfam family "Bacterial small subunit ribosomal RNA", at positions 26 to 288 of the family's 1533-position model. The record is from RNAcentral.